CUCCCUUUCUGCUACCCUCCCCCCUUCCCAUCCAGCAAGCCUGGUGUCACAAAUUCCUGUGUUAAAGGAACAGCUUCCUUUACUAACUCCUCCCCCACUUCCUUUGUGCAACUAACAGCUCUCUAUAGAAACAUGCCACGUGUAGUAAAAUGGAGCUGGAAUGGGGAUGGGAUACAAAGAAAUGUCAUGUGAUGAUGUUAGGGUCAUGCCCAGUAGGAUGGUUUUAGACAAGACCCCUUAGACUGUUAACCAAUUGAUGAAUGUAUACUUUAUGUUAACUGUGA
Pelobates cultripes (western spadefoot toad) is the source of this 284-nucleotide non-coding RNA. The record is from the annotation of a GenBank genome assembly. Lineage: Eukaryota; Metazoa; Chordata; Amphibia; Anura; Pelobatidae.